This 74-nucleotide transfer RNA is filed under the name Cavia porcellus (domestic guinea pig). It matches the Rfam family "tRNA". From Rfam's summary of the family: Transfer RNA (tRNA) molecules are approximately 80 nucleotides in length. Their secondary structure includes four short double-helical elements and three loops (D, anti-codon, and T loops). Lineage: Eukaryota; Metazoa; Chordata; Mammalia; Rodentia; Caviidae. The record is from Rfam by way of RNAcentral.
GGUGAUUUAGCUCAGCGGCAUAAGCGCCUGCCUUUGAAAGCAGGCAGUCGUGAGUUUGAUCCCCACGACUGCCU